AGGGAAAUAGCUCAGUGGCAGAGCACUUGUUUACUAUGCAUGAGACCCUGGGUUCAAUUCCCCGUACCACCA
Molecule: transfer RNA, 72 nt
Filed under: Fukomys damarensis (Damara mole-rat)
Lineage: Eukaryota; Metazoa; Chordata; Mammalia; Rodentia; Bathyergidae
Rfam family: tRNA
About the family: Transfer RNA (tRNA) molecules are approximately 80 nucleotides in length.
Source: Rfam by way of RNAcentral